RNAcentral lists this ribosomal RNA (426 nucleotides) under uncultured bacterium. RNAcentral's name for it is "partial 16S ribosomal RNA". It matches the Rfam family "Bacterial small subunit ribosomal RNA", at positions 354 to 796 of the family's 1533-position model. The record is from RNAcentral.
GUGAGGAAUUUUCCGCAAUGGGCGAAAGCCUGACGGAGCAAUGCCGCGUGAAGGAUGAAGGCCUAUGGGUUGUAAACUUCUUUUCUCAGAAAAGAAUUAUGACGGUAUCUGAGGAAUAAGCAUCGGCUAACUCUGUGCCAGCAGCCGCGGUAAGACAGAGGAUGCAAGCGUUAUCCGGAAUGAUUGGGCGUAAAGGGUCUGUAGGUUGUUUAAAAAGUAUUCUGUCAAAGAUUAGGGCUUAACCCUAGAUAGGCAGAAUAAACUUUUAAGCUAGAGUUUGGUAGAGGCAGAGGGAAUUCCCGGUGGAGCGGUGAAAUGCGUAGAUAUCGGGAGGAACACCAAAGGCGAAGGCACUCUGCUGGGCCAAUACUAACACUGAGAGACGAAAGCGAGGGGAGCAAAUGGGAUUAGAUACCCUGGUAGUCC